CGCGUGUGAGUCACUUCCAGGGUCAGACCCUGGUCUUUAUCCCCUGUUCCGCACUCUCCGAGGAACUGACGAAACAGGUCUUUGCUAAGUGACUCCAGAGCUGGUGUGGAAGGCGGCGGCUGCCAUCCUCCUCUCCAACCACCCGACUUCUCUCCUGUAGUCACCACGGGAAGAAAGGAAAGUGGCAGAAGAGCGCUAUCCUUCUCGAGCGCGCUCCACCACAGCUUCUAAACCUUCAGAGGGCCCAAAGCUCCCGCGCGUGACGGCGGCACGUGUAUUUCAGGGAGCUAUAAUGGUUGGCGUUCGGCGGCGACAGCGACCCGCAACUGGUAUGCGCAGGAGCCCGCGCCCUUUUAUCGGCGCCUUUGGUUUGGCAGUAGAAGUCUGACCACCGGGGAAGAGCUGCUGACCGACACAUAAAGAGAGCAGCGUUUCUCAAUAAAGAGCGAUGCGCCUAA
This is a long non-coding RNA of Dermacentor albipictus, 458 nucleotides long. RefSeq lists it as uncharacterized. The record is from RefSeq and is a predicted model, not a curated record. NCBI's taxonomy places the organism in Eukaryota, Metazoa, Arthropoda, Arachnida, Ixodida, Ixodidae.